GGAAUGUAGUUCAAGUGGUAGAGCACUUGCCCAGCAUGCACGAGGCCCUGGGUUCCAUCCCCAGCACCA
Molecule: transfer RNA, 69 nt
Filed under: Marmota monax (woodchuck)
Lineage: Eukaryota; Metazoa; Chordata; Mammalia; Rodentia; Sciuridae
Description: tRNA.Ala
Source: RNAcentral